Long non-coding RNA from Entelurus aequoreus (snake pipefish), 548 nucleotides. RefSeq lists it as uncharacterized. NCBI's taxonomy places the organism in Eukaryota, Metazoa, Chordata, Actinopteri, Syngnathiformes, Syngnathidae. The transcript has 3 exons. The record is from RefSeq and is a predicted model, not a curated record.
GUAAAUCUGUUGAUCACCGUCGCACGAUUGCACCUGUUAGCUAUCAAAAUAGAUAUAUGUUGUAUUUCAGUUGUUAGAGUUACAUAGUAAAUCAUGUCUGGGUGGCUUAGGAUUGUUGUUAAAAGAUAAAUGAGAAGCUCCAAAUGACGCCGACAAAGAUGGCCAGGAAGCCUGACACCAUCAGGACGUAAGCAAGGAUGAGUGCCCAUGAGUCUACGUCGUCGUUGCCGCCCUGUUGGGACAGCAGCAGAAAAACGGCUUGCUUGCGGAAGAUCUUCACCAGCAAGUCGUCCAGCUCCACCUCCUGGAGCUUGGCCAACAGCUGCUCCUCGUUGCGACACACCUUCUCCUGAGCGUACAGCCCGUCCGGCAUCACCCGCUGCUGGCCCAGGCCAAUCAGAGCCGUCUCCACCGCCAGCGCCACGUACGACUCGCCAUCGCCCAGCAGUCUCUGCACGGGCAUGCGCUGGAGGUCUGCUCGAGUCACCACACUGGAGCAGUCUAGGAAGAAACAUGAAUAUGAGUCGUUUUUAAAAUAAAUUCUGAUU